This 913-nucleotide ribosomal RNA is filed under the name uncultured marine archaeon. Its description in RNAcentral is "bacterial SSU rRNA". It matches the Rfam family "Archaeal small subunit ribosomal RNA", at positions 1 to 922 of the family's 1478-position model. The record is from RNAcentral.
UCCGGUUGAUCCCGCCGGACCUGACUGCUAUCGGAUUGAUACUAAGCCAUGCGAGUCAUUGUAGCAAUACAAGGCAUACGGCUCAGUAACGCGUAGUCAACCUAACCUAUGGACGGGAAUAACCUCGGGAAACUGAGAAUAAUGCCCGAUAGAACACUAUACCUGGAAUGGUUUGUGUUCCAAAUGAUUUAUCGCCAUAGGAUGGGACUGUGGCCUAUCAGUUUGUUGGUGAGGUAAUGGCCCACCAAGACUAUUACAGGUACGGGCUCUGAGAGGAGUAGCCCGGAGAUGGGUACUGAGACACGGACCCAGGCCCUAUGGGGCGCAGCAGGCGAGAAAACUUUGCAAUGUGCGAAAGCACGACAAGGUUAAUCCGAGUGAUUUGUGCUAAACGAAUCUUUUGUUAGUCCUAGAAACACUAACGAAUAAGGGGUGGGCAAGUUCUGGUGUCAGCCGCCGCGGUAAAACCAGCACCUCAAGUGGUCAGGAUGAUUAUUGGGCCUAAAGCAUCCGUAGCCGGCUCUGUAAGUUUUCGGUUAAAUCUGUACGCUUAACGUACAGGCUGCCGGGAAUACUGCAAAGCUAGGGAGUGGGAGAGGUAGACGGUACUCGGUAGGAAGUGGUAAAAUGCUUUGAUCUAUCGAUGACCACCUGUGGCGAAGGCGGUCUACCAGAACACGUCCGACGGUGAGGGAUGAAAGCUGGGGGAGCAAACCGGAUUAGAUACCCGGGUAGUCCCAGCUGUAAACUAUGCAAACUCAGUGAUGCAUUGGCUUGUGGCCAAUGCAGUGCUGCAGGGAAGCCGUUAAGUUUGCCGCCUGGGAAGUACGUACGCAAGUAUGAAACUUAAAGGAAUUGGCGGGGGAGCACCACAAGGGGUGAAGCCUGCGGUUCAAUUGGAUUCAACGCCGGA